Molecule: long non-coding RNA, 468 nt
Filed under: Struthio camelus australis
Lineage: Eukaryota; Metazoa; Chordata; Aves; Struthioniformes; Struthionidae
Description: lncRNA (ENSSCUG00000007120.1)
Source: RNAcentral
AUUAACUCAACACACAAAGCUAAACUCCAAUUUCAGUAAUUCAGAGAGGCCUACCCCCCCUUAUAAGCGGCUAAAAAAAUUUUGCCCCUCCUAAAAAUCAGUAUUUAAUAGUAAACAUCAUUGCAACGGAUGAAACAGAGCCAUUUUCAACUUACAUCUAUUUCGGUGACUGACAGCCAAACAGCUACAGAGCACAUAUUCAGAGCCAGUAGCUGGAGCCUGACUCAUGCCAGCUAUGUUCCUGCUGCUCAGUUUGCAUUUUAAGUGGGCCUUUGAAAAGGAGACCGUACCCAUAUCGACUCAAGGAAUGAAGAGAAAUUCCCUUGGGGCAGCCAGGCAUCUCUGUUAGUCUUUGCUAACAGCUCCAUCUCUCUGUAACAUGAUUUCUUGCAACUUUAUUUGGUGCCUGUGUCAUCUAGACAGUCCUGGUCCUAAAGCUUCACUUGCCACUCUGAGCAGCCAUCAUCC